This 497-nucleotide ribosomal RNA is filed under the name uncultured bacterium. Its description in RNAcentral is "partial 16S ribosomal RNA". It matches the Rfam family "Bacterial small subunit ribosomal RNA", at positions 28 to 507 of the family's 1533-position model. The record is from RNAcentral.
GAUGAACGCUGGCGGCGUGCCUAAUACAUGCAAGUCGAGCGAACAGACGAGGAGCUUGCUCCUCUGACGUUAGCGGCGGACGGGUGAGUAACACGUGGAUAACCUACCUAUAAGACUGGGAUAACUUCGGGAAACCGGUGCUAAUACCGGAUAAUAUAUUGAACCACAUGGUUCAAUAGUGAAAGACGGUAUUGCAGUACCCUAUAGAUGGAUCCGCGUCGCAUUAGCUAGUUGGUAAGGAAACGGCUUACCAAGGCAACGAUGCUUAGCCGACCUGAGAGGGUGAUCGGCCACACUGGAACUGAGAAACGGUCCAGACUCCUACGGGAGGCAGCAGUAGGGAAUCUUCCGCAAUGGGCGAAGGCCGGACGGGGCAACGCCGCGUGAGUGAUGAAGGUCUUCGGAUCGUAAAACUCUGCUAUUAGGGAAGAACAAAGGUGUAAGUAACUAUGCACGUCUUGACGGUACCUAAUCAGAAAGCCACGGCUAACUACGUG